This 75-nucleotide transfer RNA is filed under the name Acidobacteriota bacterium. RNAcentral's name for it is "Acidobacteria bacterium (bioreactor metagenome) tRNA-Ile". It matches the Rfam family "tRNA". From Rfam's summary of the family: Transfer RNA (tRNA) molecules are approximately 80 nucleotides in length. Their secondary structure includes four short double-helical elements and three loops (D, anti-codon, and T loops). The record is from RNAcentral. Lineage: Bacteria; Pseudomonadati; Acidobacteriota.
CUGGAUAUAGCUCAGAGGUAGAGCAGCGGACUCAUCAUCCGUAGGUCGCGGGUUCGACUCCCGUUAUCCCAGCCA